UCUCAGACUCUGGGAACAAAUAAAAAAUGCUUACAUUUCAGACCAGCAAUUGAUCACAGAUUCAAAGACAUUUCCACUUCUGGAGCAACCAACUAGCAAUGCAGAAGAAAUAAGACUCAUUCUUUGACCAUGGAGCAACCCCCAGCUGUUGCAGCAUCGAAUCUAUUUACAUUCGCUUUUCCCUUCGUCUUCUUCACAAUCUUCCUCAUCAGAUGGCUUAUUCCCACUACACCGCCAACCCAGAAAUGCUUGCCUCCUUCUCCGCCGGGCCUCCCAAUCAUAGGGAACCUCCACCAGUUGGGCCGCCUCCCUCACCGGUCCUUACAACUUCUAUCCCAGCGCCACGGCCCACUGAUGCUACUUCACUUGGGGGUCAGACCAGUUCUCGUAGUCUCCUCCGCAGACGACGCUCGUGACAUCAUGAAAACCCACGAUCUCAUCUUCUCCAACAGACCCAGAUUGACAGUUGCUGACAGACUUCUCUACCAAGGUAAAGAUGUAGCUUCUGCUCCGUACGGUGAGCAUUGGAGGAAUGCAAGAAGCAUAUGUGUUCUUCAGCUGUUGAGUACCAACAAGGUUCGGUCUUUCCGCGCCGAGAGAGAGGAAGAACUGGAGUUACUCUUAGAAGAGGUGACGCGGUCGGCUUCGCUGUCAUUGCCUGUGAAUCUAAGCGAAUUGUUUGCUUCGCUUAGUGUUGAUGUGAUUUGUAGGGUGGCUUUUGGGAGAAAGUAUGGUGGAGUGAAGUUUAAGGAGAUGCUUGGGGAGUUUAUGAGGCUGUUGGGGGGUUUCUAUAUGAGGGAUUUUGUUCCAUGGCUUGGUUGGGUUGAUCGCAUUAAUGGGUCAGAUACGAAAAUCGAGAGAGUUGCCGAAGAGUUUGAUAGAUUUCUGGAUGAUGUAGUGGAAGAGCAUAUGAGUGUUUUGAAAACGAAAGAAGAGAAUGGAGAUACGAGUGUUGACGAUGAAGGUGGAAAGGAUUUUGUGGAUGUACUACUUGAAGUUCAGAGCUCUGGCACUGAUGGCUCUUCAUUUGAUAGAGAUAGCAUUAAAGGUAUCAUCUUGGAUAUGUUUUCUGGUGGAACUGAUACAACCUACACAGUUCUAGAGUGGGCAAUGACCGAAAUCUUGAGGCAUCCCAGAGUUUGUAGAAAAAUGCAAAAUGAGGCGAUGGAGAUUGCUAAUGGCAAACCACACAUCACAGAAAGUGAUUUAGAUAAAAUGCACUACUUGAAAGCAGUGAUCAAAGAGACACUUCGGCUACAUCCGCCAAUACCAUUACUCUCCCCUCGUGAAUCAACUGAAGAUGUUAAGAUUAUGGAAUAUGACAUAGAAGCAAAAACUAUGGUCUUUAUCAAUGCUUGGGCAAUUGGAAGAGACCCAGCAGAGUGGGAUGAACCAGAAGAGUUUCGACCGGAGAGAUUCAUGAAUUCUUCUGUGGAUUUCAAAGGUCAUGACUUUCAAUUGCUCCCAUUUGGAGCUGGUAGAAGGGGCUGCCCAGGAAUCUUAUUUGCCAUGGCUAGCAAUGAGCUUGUGUUGGCAAAUAUUGUGCACAAGUUUGACUGGGAAUUGCCUGCUGGAACAAGUGCAGAUAGUAUAAACAUGACCGAAAGCAGCGGUCUUGUUGCCCAUAGAAAAGUUCCUCUUGUCGCUGUUGCAAAACCAAGGUCUUUCUAGAAUAUUUCUGCACUUUCAUCUGGAAGGUCAGGCAAUCUUCUUCAACUUCUGGACUAAUCAGUACUAGCAAUGUUGCACCUGCUGUUUGUAUUUGCUCUUCACUUACUCGGCUUCAUACUCAUCAAAUGGCUUUUCACCAAAACCACCCAAAAACAGUUGCCUCCUUCACCACCAAGGCUUCCCAUACUUGGAAACUUACACCAGCUUUGCAUGUAACCUUCCCGAUUGUUGCAACGACUAGCUCAGCACCAUCUUGAACUCAUGGUGCUUCCUUAUGGCAUCAGACCAGUGGUCAUGGUUUCAUCUCCAGAUGCUGCUCAGGAAACCAUGAAAACAAAUGAUCUCAUCUUCUCUAUGAAGACAAAGAUGUGUCUACAGCUCCUUGCGGUUAGUGUUGGAGGCAAAUAAGAAGCAUAUGUCUGCUCCAGCUUUAAGUAACAAAAGGGGUUCUGAGGAGUAAGAGAAGAAGUAGCAUUGCUGUUUGAGAAUGUCAAAUAGUCUCUCUAUGGUCAUUGCCGGUCAAUCUAAGCGAAUUGUUUUCUUCUCUUACUAAUGAUUUGAUUUGUAAGGUGGCUUUUGGGAAAUAGUUUAGUAAGAUGCAAGGGAAUUUAAGAAGUUACUUAGGGGGGUUGUUGGGUGGUGAUUGUGUUGAGGAUUUUAUUCCUCAACUUUCUUGGAGUAGUCACUUUAAUGGGUUAGGAGCAAAAGUGGAGAAAAUUUCAAAAGGAUUGAUCAAUUUCUGGAAAUUGUUGUUCGAGCACAUGGGGUACUCUUUAGGUCUUGACGUUGUUGAAGGUCAGAUAAAUGAUUUUGUGGACAUCCUGCUUGAACACAUAACACAGCUUGCUCUUCUAUUGCUAAAAACAGCAUUCCUGCUGUCAUCUAGGGUAUGGUUGCGGGUGGUACUGAUACUACCUACACAAUUCUGGAGUGGGCUAGGAUUAACCCUUAAGGCACCCCCAGAGUGAUGAAAUGUAGCUGCAAAAUGGUGUUUUUUGCGAUUGCUAAUGGCAAACCAGACAUAACAGAGAGUGAAGUGGACAAGUCGCCAUAAGUGGGUUACAACAUUAAAGCCAGCCACACAAGUUACGGUGGCACAUUGGAAGAGAUCCUGAGUCAAACAUCAACGCAGAUUGAGGAGUUUUGAGCCAGAAAGGAUCUUGAUGCAGAGCAGUAUAGAUACCAAGGAAAUGAUUUUCAGUUUAUUCCAUUUGGGGAUGGUAGCCUGGUAGAAUGGUCUGCCUAGGAAUCCUACUUGCCAAGGCAGUUAAUGGGAUUGCUUUGGCAAACAACCUGCACCAAGUUUAAAUGGGAAUUUGCCCAAUGGAGCAAAAGGCGAAGAAUUGGACAUACGGAACCUUACCGGUAUAACCACAUAGAAAAUAUCCCUCUUAAAGCACUGAUGUUCAUUAUUUUCGUUGAAAAAUAGAGGGUAUAUUUACCUUUGUUUGGUUUUUGAUUCUUAAGAGUCGGUGUGGUAAAGAAACAAUAGUGGGAACAAUACCGUCCGAUCUUUACUUGGGGCUUUUAGAAGCUGCUUGUAGUGACCA
This is an RNA transcript of Rosa chinensis, 3221 nucleotides long. It is a transcript of the gene named cytochrome P450 736A117, with no coding region annotated. The transcript has 4 exons. The record is from RefSeq and is a predicted model, not a curated record. NCBI's taxonomy places the organism in Eukaryota, Viridiplantae, Streptophyta, Magnoliopsida, Rosales, Rosaceae.